GCACACUUAGCUUGAUCAGUGGUUAGAGCACCCUUCUAGAGUUUGGGGUAAAAUAAGCCAUGGGUUCAAAUCCCAUAGUGCACA
Molecule: transfer RNA, 84 nt
Filed under: Cronartium ribicola 11-2
Lineage: Eukaryota; Fungi; Basidiomycota; Pucciniomycetes; Pucciniales; Coleosporiaceae
Description: tRNA-Ser (AGA) (tRNA-Ser-AGA-107-1)
Rfam family: tRNA
About the family: Transfer RNA (tRNA) molecules are approximately 80 nucleotides in length. Their secondary structure includes four short double-helical elements and three loops (D, anti-codon, and T loops).
Source: RNAcentral